Molecule: ribosomal RNA, 501 nt
Filed under: uncultured Actinomycetes bacterium
Lineage: Bacteria; Bacillati; Actinomycetota; Actinomycetes
Description: bacterial SSU rRNA
Rfam family: Bacterial small subunit ribosomal RNA
Source: RNAcentral
CGAGGACUUCGGUCCUAGUGGCGAACGGUCGCGUAACACGUAAGCAACCUGCCCUGAAGUGGGGGACAACAUCCCGAAAGGGGUGCUAAUACCGCAUGUGGUCACGAGUCGGCAUCGACUUGUGUCUAAAGAUUUAUCGCUUCAGGAUGGGCUUGCGGCCUAUCAGGUAGUUGGUGGGGUAAUGGCCUACCAAGCCGACGACGGGUAGCUGGUCUGAGAGGACGAUCAGCCGGAUUGGGACUGAGAUACGGCCCAGACUCCUACGGGGGGCAGCAAUUAGGAAUCUUGCGCAAUGGGGGAAACCCUGACGCAGCGACGUCGCGUGAAGGAUGAAGGCCCUCGGGUCGUAAACUUCUUUUGAGUGGGAAGAAAUUUGACGGUACCACUCGAAUAAGCCCCGGCUAACUACGUGCCAGCAGCCGCGGUAAUACGUAGGGGGCGAGCGUUGUCCGAAGUUACUGGGCGUAAAGCGCGCGUAGGCGGUUAUUUAAGUCUGGGGUG